RNAcentral lists this ribosomal RNA (305 nucleotides) under uncultured bacterium. RNAcentral describes it as "bacterial SSU rRNA". It matches the Rfam family "Bacterial small subunit ribosomal RNA", at positions 338 to 660 of the family's 1533-position model. The record is from RNAcentral.
CCUACGGGACGCAGCAGUGGGGGAUAUUGCACAAUGGGGGGAACCCUGAUGCAGCGACGCCGCGUGGGUGAAGAAGCGCCUCGGCGCGUAAAGCCCUGUCAGCAGGGAAGAAAAUGACGGUACCUGAAGAAGAAGCCCCGGCUAACUACGUGCCAGCAGCCGCGGUAAUACGUAGGGGGCAAGCGUUAUCUGGAUUUACUGGGUGUAAAGGGGGCGCAGACGGCGAUGCAAGCCAGGAGUGAAAGCCCGGGGCCCAACCCCGGGACUGCUCUUGGAACUGCGUGGCUAGAGUGCAGGAGGGGCAG